GAGGGUAUAGCUCAGUGGCAGAGCACAUGAUUAACAUGCACAAGGUCCUGGGUUCAAUCCCCAGUACUACCA
Molecule: transfer RNA, 72 nt
Filed under: Camelus bactrianus (Bactrian camel)
Lineage: Eukaryota; Metazoa; Chordata; Mammalia; Artiodactyla; Camelidae
Also listed under: 2 other names
Rfam family: tRNA
About the family: Transfer RNA (tRNA) molecules are approximately 80 nucleotides in length. Their secondary structure includes four short double-helical elements and three loops (D, anti-codon, and T loops).
Source: Rfam by way of RNAcentral